RNAcentral lists this ribosomal RNA (446 nucleotides) under uncultured bacterium. RNAcentral's name for it is "bacterial SSU rRNA". It matches the Rfam family "Bacterial small subunit ribosomal RNA", at positions 329 to 792 of the family's 1533-position model. The record is from RNAcentral.
UGCCAGACUCCUACGGGAGGCAGCAGUGGGGAAUAUUGCACAAUGGGGGGAACCCUGAUGCAGCGACGCCGCGUGGGUGAAGGAGCGUUUCGGCGCGUAAAGCCCUAUCGGCAGGGAAGAAGAUGACGGUACCUGACCAAGAAGCCCCGGCUAACUACGUGCCAGCAGCCGCGGUAAUACGUAGGGGGCAAGCGUUAUCCGGAUUUACUGGGUGUAAAGGGGGCGCAGACGGCAGCGCAAGCCAGGAGUGAAAGCCCGGGGCCCAACCCCGGGACUGCUCUUGGAACUGCGCGGCUGGAGUGCAGGAGGGGCAGGCGGAAUUCCUGGUGUAGCGGUGAAAUGCGUAGAUAUCAGGAGGAACACCGGUGGCGAAGGCGGCCUGCUGGACUGCGACUGACGUUGAGGCCCGAAAGCGUGGGGAGCAAACAGGAUUAGAUACCCGCGUA